Molecule: long non-coding RNA, 6066 nt
Filed under: Volvox carteri
Lineage: Eukaryota; Viridiplantae; Chlorophyta; Chlorophyceae; Chlamydomonadales; Volvocaceae
Description: long non-coding RNA (VCAR_LNC003634)
Source: RNAcentral
GAAGGAAAGCAUUGGUGUACGUCCACCGCUGGGUGCCUUGGGUGUUCUAGAGAGGAAUUUAGUGUGCCAGGUACCACGCGUCACAGGUACCACGACACGGGUCAGACCUCCGCCUCAUAUUCACAUUCUUCUUGCCUUAAUUUGUACUAGAGAGUUCAAAGUUCAUUUGGUUUUCGUUCCUUGCUUCAGGGUCAUGGUUCAACAGAUGCCUUGUUGUUACAAGGUCGUGGGUGCGUUCCCCGUACCUGCAAACCACCCUUAUAUGAGCCGAAGGCUCAAGGGCUGCCAAAUCGCCUAUAAGCACCAUCCUACCUCGCACAUCAAACGAAACAAGUGAUGAAGGAUACUAACGACCAAAGGGAACGAUAGAGUUGCGUUGGGACCAUAUACGUUCCAGCAUCCUUGCCAGGCGUUCAGGUUCCCACUUCAUACCGUCCUUCAUGUGCUUGAAGCGUGGGAAAUCCAUAUCAGAUCUGAUUUUGUCGUACACCGGACAGUCCAGCAAAAUGUGCUUCUCAUCCUCGAUAUGGCUACCAGUGCUGCAGCAAGGGCAUACUCGCUCCUCCCUAGGUAUAUAACGCCGUCCCUUACGCGCUCUGUUAGCCGCCAAUGCCCAACAGCAAAGCCUAAACUGCAUAAGCUUGCGAUUCGCUGAACGCGGGAUAAACAUUGUGAUAUGCGGGAGCACCUCCUUCCUGCCCGCUUGUUCGGCCGCCAGACCCAUCUAAUGCUUAUACUUCGCCAUGUGAAUUCCUGGUUGCUUGCCGUCUGAAGGGUACAUGUCUGGCUGGACAUCUAAACGCGUAUGCUUCCAACCACUCACUAAUCGGUCCUUGAACUCCAAAAUCACACCACCUGGCAUUGGCCUGAUCAUCAGCCACUCCACUCGUUCGUCUACCUCAUGUAGCCCUUGCGGGGCCUCUUUCCAUACGUCGUGCCCCAAAAAAACAUAGAAAACGGAGGAGUAGUGUCCCCCAUCCGGCCCCUUCGGGGUUGGAGAGGGAUCCUGCGACCUCCUGUCGCAAAACUUGGUGUGCCACAGACCCACGCUGUAAACGGACAUGGUUCCAAAACCUCACAACCUGCUUGAGAACGUGGUAGUGUAGGGGUAGCUGCGAUAGCUCUGCGAACAGGAGGCGGUGUGUUGGUCUGGCAGCUCCUACAAUUUGCCGCAUGAAAGAUAUCUGAAGCUGCACUGCUCUGUCCUUUAGGCAUGCCUCGAAGGGCCCCUCUGCAAGGUUAUUCGCAUCACUCCGCUUCCUGAGCCUGUCCGAGACCUCAGCUAGCAUAAACGGCCCCCAUGCUUGACAACCAUACAACAGUAUUGCUUGUACCUGCGUAUCGAAAGACUUGAUCCUCACAUCUGGGGCGAACAACUUCAGCUUAUCUAAUUUUGCACUCAACGCGAACAUAGCUGCUCUAGCUGUGUCAUACAACUGCUGACAGCGGGCCCAGAACUGCUGUUCCGGCCCAUACACUAACCCCAGAUAUCGUGCACUAUCAUUAGCCGGUAUGGCCUCUCCAGCCUGCCUGAGCUCAUCACACGAUGCUUAUAAUCAUCACACUCAUAAUUCUGGUAGUCCCUCAGUCCUUCAAAACCCAUGACCUCGCAUACGGCCUGCGACUGCUCUAAAUCCGAGAUGUCGUUCACGUAAGCAGGUAGGUCCAUCGGGGUAGCACGGUUCCGCUCAUGCUGUGCUCCAGACAGAUGUGCGUUAAGGUCCCCGGCUAUCAGUACGUCCUCAUCGCCAAGCCUGAGUUCCGUUAGCGACUGUGGGAUCCUGGUCAAAACGGCUUCUGCUGCUGCAGUGCGCUGUGAUACGGUGCCUCCACCAUCCGGGUAGACCCUGGACGUCUCUGGUGCGAGGUAGCAGGCUCCCAUCAGGAGACUGCUACCUGUAGAAAGGCUAACGCGUGCCCAAAUGACCUCGCACCCUGGCAGCUGGUUGUCCUUGCGCACUACCGUAAUACCCCUCGUGAGUGACUCCCAUACAUACAGCGCGACGCUUCCAUAAUCGGCCCUCAGGGCUUCCUUUGACCUCUCCACCCGGAAAAUACGGAACCCUUCCAAAGCUGUGUCUUUCUCCUCAGUACUGUCUUUCAAAUGCGCCUCAGCUAUAACAACAAUAUCAUGACUCGUGACGAACGACCUAAUUCCUGUCUGGUUGAGCUUGAAAACUCCCGCCUCCAAUAGCCCAUGAACAUUCCACGGUAAAAUCCGUAGCCCUCGGCUCGCGUGCCCCUAGGUGUCAUCCAUUUCGUCAGCGUUAGGGAGGUUUGCGAAGCGGUUUGCCCUGUUACCCGCCAGUUGGUCACGUGCCCUGUCGUCCCUUCCCCCACUGCCGCUUCCUCCUUGGCCCACCUGCCCGUUUCGUGUACUUCCCGCCACGAGUCGGAACCCUUCCGCAUCGACGCCCCGGCUAUCCGGCCCUUGUACUCGUGGAUCGCGUCCGGCUGGCGGUCUGUAGCUCGCUCGCUCCAGAGUGCCUGGUGAAGCCGUGUACGUGAGUCCAAUGGUGCCCUCGGUUCGCAGCUGUUUCGGGGGUUUUGCCUUCACAGCGCUGAGUGUGGUCUCGGGUGGUAUCUUGCUUUUGUUGUUCCCAAUGAGCGCCAGCUCAUGCCCGGGCGGGAUUGGUUCGGGAGGUGGUGGAGGAGGGGCUCUGGCGGUCGGGUUAGCCCCUACUGAGGGCGCUAUCGCUGCCGGCCCUGCCCUUCAGGCCACGGAUGGGGAUAGCGAUGCCCGCACACCACGCGCCCACAAGGUGGUCGCUGGUGCAAUAGCUGCCGUUGGGUUUGCUGCCCCUGCGACGGCCGGAGCUGCAGACCCUGCGGCCGCCAUCUUGGAGCCCCGUACACACCCCUUCCCGGCUGCUGCAGUCGUAGCUGCUGCUGCCACUCCCGAGGUGCCACCUCCGGGGCCCCUGCUGCCGCUGGCCCCUCCUUCUCCACCUCCUGCGUUGCCACCGACAUAUUCACUGCCGUCAGCUCCCUGCUCGGCAGCUGCAGUCCCUUCUCAAUCGCUGUCACCUCCGUCGGCACCGUACUCCGCGCUGCCCAGGUCGCUGUCGGUAUCAUUCCGGGUCCCAUACGGCUGCGCUUUUCCGCCUGGUCGCUCCUUUAUGUAUAUGUAGAUGCCUUGUGACAUGACUAGCAACAGAAGUUGUCCAAAUUGUUUUCCAUGACAAAUGGCAAACAUAUAACAUAUAAUGUUAUGCCAUUUCCGUUCCAUUGCGGUGUUGCCUCCUUAACUUUGAUACAUGGCUGCCGUCGGGGUCAGAUGGCACACACUCAAUUCCGAAAAGUACGCAUCUCACUCGCGAAAUAUUAAUACUUUUAUGUGCAAGCUUCUAUUUGGAACAAUUUGCGACGGUUGGCGUUGACAUCUCGGAGGGGUCUCAGGGUGGUCUCACCCCUUUCCAUAACAGUAUUUGCUGAUGGUCCUUCUGGUGCGGUUCCAGGGACUUUUGCAAAUUGGGGAGCUAAUGGCAAACUCCCUAGUGGGUUCUGAGCCUUCCCUUGGAUUUGCUCUUGGCUGUCUAGGUGAAUUGCGUUGCCUGGUCUGGGUGGGAGUCUUGCUUGCCCUCAUCCUAUCAGGUGCAGUGCAUGGCCGCUCUCUGUGCGUCUGGAGCCCACUGUAACACUGCCCCGAGGCAUCCCUGGCCCCGACGGUAAACUAAAUGGUGCUAGCCUAGUCCGUGCCCAACCCCCCAUCGCGUGCCCGCCCCCCAUCACCCUGCAACAGAGAAUCGGGUGAAGGGCCUUGCGCCUUAAUAGGGAGGGGUAGGGUAUGUGCAGGGUUUUCGGGUUUCCUCAGUCUUAGUGAACCCCAAGAGCCGGAUCAGGCCGGGGAUGGAGAGUAGUCUUGUUGUGUGUGUAUGUGUGUUACAUGGCUGGGGGUGCGUGACCCCAUACCUGUAAAACUACCCAUACGAGCCGGACGCCCAAGGGCACAACGCCUAAAAGCCACGGAGAACAGGAAACACCGUACAUCAGCCCAGACUAGCGUCCAAAAGGGGUAACUGAGUCCACAUACGUUCCAACAUCCUCGCCAGACGUACUGGUUCCCAUUUCAUGGCCUCCAACAUGCUCUGUUGAUGAUCGAAUCCCUCUUCAGCACUAAUAUCAUUAUAGGCUGGGCAUUCCAAUAACACGUGUUUUUCAUCUGCAUUAGCUUACGAUGUGCUAAACGAGGAAUGAAAACCUUAGCAUGUGUUGGCCACAUAACGGCUGCAGCUGCCGAAAAGGGCAGCCCCAUCCAGUUCCUCCUUCGCCAUUUGCACUCCUGGUUGCUUCCCAUCUGAUGGGUACUCCUCUGGCAAGACAGUCAGACGCGUAUGGUCCCAGCCGCUCAUCAAACGCUCUCUUAGUGCCGUUAUCAUCGCUCCUUCGGGUAGAGGCCUACUCAACAACCAGUCAACACGCUCCUUUACCCCCAUGACUUCUUGCGGUAUUCCACUCCAAAUAUUGCACUCCAAGAAGGAAAACAGUCGUAACAUUGAGAUUCCCCAACCCUCCCACUCCGGGUUGGUCAGGGCAUCAGUUAUCUCCUGCCGUAAAACUGCAUGAGCAAUGGACCCCACUUGUUUUUGAAGGCUAUCUUGUUGUGUGUUUCAGGCUCAGUGCACAAACUCGCGUGACAGAGCCUCUUGACUCGUGAGAGAGUACGCCCGUGUGACGCCUCCCACCCCCGGGGGAGGAGAGCUGAAUUAGCAUGCGACGCCUCCCACCCCCGCGGGAGGAGAGCUGAAUUAGCAUGCGACGCCUCCCACCCCCGGGGGAGGAGAGCGGAACUAGCAUGCGACGCCUCCCACCCCCGGGGGACGACAACGGAACUAGCAUGCGACGCCUCCCACCCCCGGGGGACGACAACGGAACUAGCAUGCGACGCCUCCCACCCCCGGGGGACGACAACGGAACUAUCGGACCUGCGGCUCUCGGCUGUUUAGGUGGGGACAGAGGCCCCUUACACCCCUCUCCUGUCUGCGGGAGAGAGCUUAGGUGGUCUUUCCAUUGGGGCUGGGCAGUAGUCCCUGGGCAGUCUCAGGCCUGGUCAGAUACUUGUGUGUGCGUUACAUGGUCGUGGGUGCGUUCCCCCUACCUGCAAACCGCCCCAAUACGAGCCGAGGGCUCAAGGGCUGCCAGAUCGCCUAUAAGCACCAUCCUACCUCGCACUUCCAACGAAACAAGUGAUGAAGGAUACUAACGACCAAAGGGAACGAUAGAGUUGCGGUGGGACCAUAUACGUUCCAGCAUCCUUGCCAGGCGUUCAGGUUCCCACUUCAUGGGAAAUCCGUAUCAGAUCUGAUUUUGUCGUACACCGGACAGUCCAGCAAAACGUCCUGCUCAUCUUCAAUAAGGCUAUCAGUGCCGCAACAGGGACAUACUCGCUCCACCGAAGGUAUAUAACGCCGUCCCUUGUGCGCUCCGUUCACCGCCAAUGCCCAGCAGCCUAAACUGCAUAAGCUUGCGAUUCGCUGUAUGCGGGAUAAACAUUGUGAUAUGCGGGAGGAGCGCUCCUAGCCCGCGGUAUCAAGUUGACCAGUAUCGUGAAGGCAUUUGCCACCUUUUCUGUUUCACACAGCACGCCCGCGGCGACACCUGGCCCAGACGAGGCCCCUCACGCGCUCGGAAAUUCGGAAUUUGACCCCAUGAAUUCCCAAGCAAAUCCGGGUCAAAUCCCAUCGGGAUUUGAGGAUUUGAACCCCAAAACAAUAAGCAAUAUAAUGGUCAUGCAAAGAUUUCCUCGGGCCUGGAAUUUGACGCAUUUGAGAAUUUGAACCCCCCAAAACAAUUAUCAUGGCCAUGCAAACAAUUCCAUGAGCAGCCGUUACAAUAUAUUGCAUAUCUUCGAGCGGCAUGUUAUGCUCGUGCCAGUCAGUCCUCGCGCCGCAUGCCUUCAAACAUUUAGUUAUUCCUCCAAAGCCGGCGCUCACCGCAAAGAGCGAUGUCAGACAGCGGCGACGGACGGGCUAACAAACACCGAAAGGCUCAACCAGGUACCCUUGAUGAACUGAAUCGGCACGUGCAACAGUUAGGCAAGAAAACGAAUACAAACUGUACUUUUUC